RNAcentral lists this microRNA (22 nucleotides) under Pteropus alecto (black flying fox). Its description in RNAcentral is "pal-miR-9994-3p". Lineage: Eukaryota; Metazoa; Chordata; Mammalia; Chiroptera; Pteropodidae. The record is from miRBase by way of RNAcentral.
UCAGAAACACCCCAGAGUCUGC